AGCUGUGCUACUAUACUUUGGGUACUUAUUUUGUCAGAUCUCAGAAGCUAAGCAGGGUCUUUCCUGGUCAGUACUUAAGAUGAGUGACCUCCAAAGAGCAUCAGGUGCUGCAGUAA
This 116-nucleotide ribosomal RNA is filed under the name Chrysemys picta bellii (western painted turtle). Lineage: Eukaryota; Metazoa; Chordata; Testudines; Emydidae. The record is from RNAcentral.